Non-coding RNA from Caenorhabditis elegans, 141 nucleotides. The record is from Ensembl. Lineage: Eukaryota; Metazoa; Nematoda; Chromadorea; Rhabditida; Rhabditidae.
GUUCUAAAACAAAAGAAAGACCAAGGAAAAGAGGUUCUACCGCCAUGCAUAUUUCAUCGUUGCCUACUUUUUUUUAGCUGGUCGCAAGAAGGAAGAAGAUGGGGAUUAGUUGUGAGAAGUAGGAGGAAUAACGUCAAGGAC